Podarcis lilfordi (Lilford's wall lizard) is the source of this 87-nucleotide non-coding RNA. NCBI's taxonomy places the organism in Eukaryota, Metazoa, Chordata, Lepidosauria, Squamata, Lacertidae. The record is from the annotation of a GenBank genome assembly.
GCAAGAGCAGGCACAGGAGCCAUGGUUGGGAGAGGUGCUGCACUGCACUGUGCCUCUCCCAACCGCGGCUCCUAUGCCUGCUCUUGC